Molecule: transfer RNA, 121 nt
Filed under: Coniochaeta ligniaria NRRL 30616
Lineage: Eukaryota; Fungi; Ascomycota; Sordariomycetes; Coniochaetales; Coniochaetaceae
Rfam family: tRNA
About the family: Transfer RNA (tRNA) molecules are approximately 80 nucleotides in length. Their secondary structure includes four short double-helical elements and three loops (D, anti-codon, and T loops).
Source: Rfam by way of RNAcentral
GGAGGGAUGGCCGAGCGGUCUAAGGCGCCACGUUAAGGUCUUCAUAACCUUGAAACCCAUCUGGUCUACAGAUUAAUCCGUGGUCUCGUAAGAGGCGCGAGUUCGAAUCUCGCUUCCUUCA